This 600-nucleotide ribosomal RNA is filed under the name uncultured dinoflagellate. Its description in RNAcentral is "SSU rRNA". It matches the Rfam family "Eukaryotic small subunit ribosomal RNA", at positions 496 to 1101 of the family's 1831-position model. Lineage: Eukaryota; Dinophyceae. The record is from RNAcentral.
CCAUGUCUUGUAAUUGGAAUGAGUAGAAUUCAAAUCCCUUUAUGAGUAUCGAUUGGAGGGCAAGUCUGGUGCCAGCAGCCGCGGUAAUUCCAGCUCCAAUAGCGUAUAUUAAAGUUGUUGCGGUUAAAAAGCUCGUAGUUGGAUUUCUGCUGAGGACGACCGGUCCGCCCUCUGGGUGAGUAUCUGGCUCGGCCUUGGCAUCUUCUUGGAGAACGUAACUGCACUUGACUGUGUGGUGCGGUAUUCAGGACUUUUACUUUGAGGAAAUUAGAGUGUUUCAAGCAGGCGCAUGCCUUGAAUACAUUAGCAUGGAAUAAUGAGAUAGGACCUUGGUUCUAUUUUGUUGGUUUCUAGAGCUGAGGUAAUGAUUAAUAGGGAUAGUUGGGGGCAUUCGUAUUUAACUGUCAGAGGUGAAAUUCUUGGAUUUACGAAAGAUAAACUUCUGCGAAAGCAUUCGGCAAGGAUGUUUUCAUUGAUCAAGAACGAAAGUUAGGGGAUCGAAGACGAUCAGAUACCGUCGUAGUCUUAACCAUAAACUAUGCCGACUAGGGAUCAGUGGAUGUCAAUUUGCGACUCCNUUGGCACCUUGUGAGAAAUCAA